UACAGAGACUGCAAGCGUUAUUCGGAUUCACUGGGCGUAAAGGGUGCGCAGGCGGCCGUGUGUGUGAGGCGUGAAAGCCCGAUGCUUAACAUCGGAAUUGCACCUCAAACUACACGGCUAGAGCAUUGGAGAGGGUAGCGGAAUUCACGGUGUAGCAGUGAAAUGCGUAGAUAUCGGGAGGAACACCAGUGGCGAAGGCGACUACCUGGCCUGUUCUUGACGCUGAGGCGCGAAAGCUAGGGGAGCAAACAGG
Molecule: ribosomal RNA, 253 nt
Filed under: uncultured bacterium
Lineage: Bacteria
Description: partial 16S ribosomal RNA
Rfam family: Bacterial small subunit ribosomal RNA
Source: RNAcentral